GAUUUUAACCCCUUAGUGACCAGACCGUUUUUCAAUUUUCUUACCGUUAAGGACCAGGGCUGUUUUUACAUUUCUGCGGUGUUUGUGUUUAGCUGUAAUUUUCCUCUUCCUCAUUUACUGUACCCCUACAUAUUAUAUACAGUUUUUCUCGCCAUUAAAUGGUCUUUCUAAAGAUACCAUUAUUUUCAUCAUAUCAUAUAAUUUACUAUAAAAAAUUAUAAAAUAUGAUGAAAAAAACCCCACAACUUUUCUUACUUUGACCCCAAAAAUCUGUUACGCAUCUACAACCGCAAAAAUACGCCAAUGCUAAAUAGUUUCUACAUUUUGUCCUGAGUUUAGAAAUACCCAAUGUUAACAUGUUCUUAGCUUUUUUGCAAGUUAUAGGGCAAUAAGUACAAGUAGCACUUUGCUACUUCCAAACCAUUUUUUUUUUAAAUUAACAAAGGUUACAUUGCAACCCUGAUAUCUGUCAGGAAUCCCUGAAUAACCC
Non-coding RNA from Pelobates cultripes (western spadefoot toad), 490 nucleotides. The record is from the annotation of a GenBank genome assembly. NCBI's taxonomy places the organism in Eukaryota, Metazoa, Chordata, Amphibia, Anura, Pelobatidae.